This 497-nucleotide ribosomal RNA is filed under the name uncultured bacterium. RNAcentral describes it as "partial 16S ribosomal RNA". It matches the Rfam family "Bacterial small subunit ribosomal RNA", at positions 28 to 507 of the family's 1533-position model. The record is from RNAcentral.
GAUGAACGCUGGCGGCGUGCCUAAUACAUGCAAGUCGAGCGAACAGACGAGGAGCUUGCUCCUCUGACGUUAGCGGCGGACGGGUGAAUAACACGUGGAUAACCUACCUAUAAGACUGGGAUAACUUCGGGAAACCGGAGCUAAUACCGGAUAAUAUAUUGAACCGCAUGGUUCAAUAGUGAAAGACGGUUUUGCUGUCACUUAUAGAUGGAUCCGCGCCGCAUUAGCUAGUUGGUAAGGUAACGGCUUACCAAGGCGACGAUGCGUAGCCGACCUGAGAGGGUGAUCGGCCACACUGGAACUGAGACACGGUCCAGACUCCUACGGGAGGCAGCAGUAGGGAAUCUUCCGCAAUGGGCUAAAGCCUGACGGAGCAACGCCGCGUGAGUGAUGAAGGUCUUCGGAUCGUAAAACUCUGUUAUUAGGGAAGAACAAAUGUGUAAGUAACUAUGCACGUCUUGACGGUACCUAAUCAGAAAGCCACGGCUAACUACGUG